UACGAAGGGGGCUAGCGUUGCUCGGAAUCACUGGGCGUAAAGCGCACGUAGGCGGAUUGCUAAGUCAGGGGUGAAAUCCUGGAGCUCAACUCCAGAACUGCCUUUGAUACUGGCGAUCUUGAGUCCGGGAGAGGUGAGUGGAACUGCGAGUGUAGAGGUGAAAUUCGUAGAUAUUCGCAAGAGCACCAGUGGCGAAGGCGGCUCACUGGCCCGGUACUGACGCUGAGGUGCGAAAGCGUGGGGAGCAAACAGG
This 253-nucleotide ribosomal RNA is filed under the name uncultured bacterium. RNAcentral describes it as "partial 16S ribosomal RNA". It matches the Rfam family "Bacterial small subunit ribosomal RNA", at positions 524 to 776 of the family's 1533-position model. The record is from RNAcentral.